UAUCAACGGGUCAACACAGAGGUCAUGGUCAUCAACGGGUCAACACCAGGUUAUCAACGGGUCAACACCAGGUUAUCAACGGGUCAACACCGAGGUCAAGGUUAUCAACGGGUCAACACCAGGUUAUCAACGGGUCAACACCAGGUCAUCAACGGGUCAACACCAGGUUAUCAACGGGUCAACACCAGGUUAUCAACGGGUCAACACCAGGUUAUCAACGGGUCAACACCAGGUCAUCAACGGGUCAACACCAGGUCAUCAACGGGUCAACACAGAGGUCAUCGUCAUCAACGGGUCAACACCAGGUUAUCAACGGGUCAACACCAGGUUAUCAACGGGUCAACACCAGGUCAUCAACGGGUCAACACCAGGUUAUCAACGGGUCAACACCAGGUUAUCAACGGGUCAACACCAGGUCAUCAACGGGUCAACACCAGGUUAUCAACGGGUCAACACCAGGUCAUCAACGGGUCAACACCAGGUUAUCAACGGGUCAACACCAGGUUAUCAACGGGUCAACACCAGAUCAUCAACGGGUCAACACCAGGUCAUCAACGGGUCAACACCAGGUUAUCAACGGGUCAACACAGAGGUCAUGGUCAUCAACGGGUCAACACCAGGUCAUCAACGGGUCAACACCAGGUUAUCAACGGGUCAACACCAG
Molecule: non-coding RNA, 664 nt
Organism: Procambarus clarkii (red swamp crayfish)
Lineage: Eukaryota; Metazoa; Arthropoda; Malacostraca; Decapoda; Cambaridae
Source: RefSeq, a predicted model, not a curated record